GAAAUUGGCCCACAGUUCAGUAUCUACUGCUCUCUCUCUCUCCUCGCACACGCACAGAGUGAGCUUGAAGAAUAUGUCAAGCAGAAGAGGAAGAAUUUCUAUCUCUUCCAUUAUUGGACCAAGAAUAGCUUACUGCAAUAAUUGGCUUUUAGAAGGUACUUCCAAAUCGAAAUCGAAAUUUGUUAAGGUUAAUCAACCCUCUUGUUUCUUAUUUGUUCUGUUUCGUUCUCUCUCUAACACCACCAAAAACCCUACUUCUCCUCCUCAAGGACGCGAACCUAAACCUGAAGCCUUACCCAAACAACCAUGCAAUUUGGGUCCCAAUCAUCUUCAUUCUGCUUUAAUUUCCUUCAAUCGCAUGCUCCGAAUGCGACCUUUGCCCCCAAUUUCUCAAUUCAACAAAGCUUUAGGCUCUAUUUUGAAAAUGGGUCAUUACGCCACUGCUCUUUCUCUUAUUCAUAACAAGUUGCAACAGUUCCAAGGCAUUCAGGUCAAUAUCUGCACCUUCAGCAUUGCUAUUAACUGUUACUGCCACCUUGAUCGAGUCGAUUUUGGGUUGUCUCUUCUGGGUACCCUCUUCAAACGCGGUUAUACACCUGAUGUAACUACCUUCACAACUCUGAUUAAUGGACUUAUUUUGCAAGAUAAAACUCCUCUAGCUGUGGAGUUAUUUAAGAAAUUAAUGAGAACUAGAGAAAUUGAACCCGACGUAGUUAUGUAUGGAACCAUUGUCAAUGGGCUCUGCAGAACGGGGAACACUGUCAGGGCUGUUAGUUUGCUUAGGAUAAUGGAAGAGGGAAGUUGUAAACCUAACACCGUAGUGUAUAGCACGAUCAUUGACAGUCUUUGCAAGGAUAGAAUGGUGGAUGAAGCUCUCAAACUCUUUUCUACGAUGGUUGAAAAGGGUAUUUUUCCAAAUGUUGUCACUCAUACUUCUUUGAUUCAUGGCCUAUAUAAUUUUGGCCGGUGGAAGGAGGCUACUGGAAUGUUUAGAGAAAUGUUGGAUAGUGGUAUUGCUCCGGAUGUUCAUAUGUAUAGUGUUUUGCUGGCUGCAUGUACCAAGGAAGGGAAGAUGAAAGAGGCAGAGGGGGUACUUGAAGUCAUGAUACAAAGAAAUGUAGAUCCUAAUGUAGUCACAUACAAUGCUUUAAUGGAUGGAUAUUGUUUGCAAGGCCAAAUGGAUGAAGCAAUUAGAGUGUUCAAUACCAUGGUGGAUAGGGGCCUUCACCCCAAUGUUUUUAGCUAUAACAUUCUAAUCAAUAGAUAUUGCAAGAAAAUGAAAAUAGAUGAGGCCAUGCAUCUCUUUCGAGAAUUGCCUCAAAGGGGGUUAAAACCCGACAAUGGAACUUUCAGUGCUAUGUUACGGGGUUUGUUUCAAACAGGUAGAUGUGGAGCUGCUCAAAAACUUUUUAAUGAUAUGCAAGCUGCAGGCAUAAAUCCAGAUUCUCAAACUUAUGGUAUCGUGUUGGAUGGGCUAUGCAAAAACGGGCAUAUUUCUAAAGCAUUGUCAUUAUUCCACAUGAUGGAAAGCAACAAUUUACAUCUUGAUAUUGUUAAGUACAAUAUUCUUAUUGAUGCAUUCUGCAAGGAUAAAAAGCUUGAUACUGCAAGGGCCCUUUUCAGUAACCUUUCUUCCAAGGGAUUACAACCUGAUGUUAAGACAUACAAUACGAUGAUACAAGGUCUUUGUGAAGAAGGCCUACUGCAUGAAGCCAAAGAGUUGUUUGUUAAAAUGGUACCGAAUGGUUGUUUGCCAAAUGAUGUAACUUACAACACUAUUAUCCGAGGAUUUAUUGGACAACACAAGUGCUAUGAGGCAUUAAUACUGGUUGAGGAAAUGGUUCAAAGUGGUUUUUCAGCAGAUGCAUCCAAUUCUUCCUUUGUCAUAAAUAUAAUCUCAACUAAAGGACAAGAUCCUGCUCUCCAGGAAGUGAUACAGAAGUUUAUGCCCAAAGAUAGUCAUGGAAUGCAAGAGAUUGAGUGAAGUGCUUAAGCUGUGAAGGUCAUGUACUGGUAAUUGACUUGAUCAAAUAGAGUGUCAGCAUGCUCUACAAAGCUAAAGCAAAGGGCCCUUAAGGAUCAGGUUUGGACUCAUCGAUCUAGUUUUAAUUUGCACCCUCAUUCUGAUAAUGGUGCAGGGACUUUGUUAAAGGACCCGGGUGCUGAUUAUGGAGAUUAUUCAAAUCCUUGAUGGAGUUUUAAAGGCUGUAUCACCUUGGAUUGGGAAGGAUUCCUUAUGGAAUCAAGGAAUUUGUGAAGUACCUGCAACUGCAGGAGCUUGAUCUCUGCUGUUUGUUUCCUCAUACAAGGCAACUGUAGCUUAAUACCUCAUCAUUACAUCCCAAGGGAAGCAGCCUUUUUCAGCACAACCAGCAUCAAAUUAUUCUUAUUUUUAUUUGAGUAAAUUACACAUUGAGGUUUCUGACACUUUCAAAUCUGUAUUUAGAAAUUUGAUUUCUCUUUCUGCAUAAAUAAGAAUCAAGUCUAUGUAUUUAGUAAUUUGAUUUUUCUUUCUGCAGGUAAGAACAGAGAGAAUAAAUUUCAAUUCAUAUAAUCUGAUGAAUUUACGACCGUUCCCUUUCUUCUAAACAAUUCAUAUAUUGUGGUAUUUCCAUAUCAUUCUUUUGAUAUUUAUUGACAUUCUUUGUAUGUUUGCUUGUGCUGGUGACUAUGAUGAUUAUUAGUUCAUGUGGUGUUGCUGCUGUAAUUGAAGGGAUGCAUCGGUGGUUUAUCAACUGCAGAAAUAUUCCAUUAUGCUAGGAAGAAAAUUUGCACAUUUAGCUGCAAAUUUACCAUCAGGGUUUGGUAUUUCAUUAGAUAGGCUAGUCUUCUCCUUCAUUCUCCCCCAGAAGAUUGCCAAGUUCAAUGCAAAUGCUUACUUGAUACAUCAUUAAAUAAUAAAUAUAGAUGCAGCUACUGCCGGAAAACAUACAUCUAUUUUGUGCAGGGAAGAGAGGUGAAAUUGAUGUUUCCAGGUUGAUGUUGAUAAAAGCUUUACGGCAACAUCCUUCAACCGCUCCAUCUUGUAAAUAAACGUUCCCGGGUUUCUACACAAAUAGGAGAACAAGCAUUAAUACUAAACUGAUUGACCAUCAAUCAGAGGGUGCAUGGGAGUAACUCAGACCUUUUGCAUUUGCAAUGAUUCUAAAUGUAACUAUAUUUUUCUUGGUAGAAACAAUAUAUACUUGGUAUUCUUAUAGUCUCUGUACCCACUGAAGAUUUGAUCCACGCAGUUUACAGGCAUAUAGCAUUACAAGUAUGUUUUUUCCUAAACUGUUUGCAGCAAAUUAUGAUCUCUUAAAUGGUUCCUGGAGAUUUUUUUC
This is a non-coding RNA of Camellia sinensis, 3323 nucleotides long. The record is from RefSeq and is a predicted model, not a curated record. NCBI's taxonomy places the organism in Eukaryota, Viridiplantae, Streptophyta, Magnoliopsida, Ericales, Theaceae.